GCCAAAAUAGCUCAGUUGGGAGAGCGUUAGACUGAAGAUCUGAAAGUCCCUGGUUCGAUCCCGGGUUUCGGCA
Molecule: non-coding RNA, 73 nt
Organism: Cordylochernes scorpioides
Lineage: Eukaryota; Metazoa; Arthropoda; Arachnida; Pseudoscorpiones; Chernetidae
Source: the annotation of a GenBank genome assembly